This is a long non-coding RNA of Equus asinus (donkey), 3116 nucleotides long. NCBI's taxonomy places the organism in Eukaryota, Metazoa, Chordata, Mammalia, Perissodactyla, Equidae. The record is from Ensembl.
GAAUGCCGAUCAGCUGACCUGAAAAGAGGGCAAAUAGCGUGCAUUAUGCAGGUGGCUCCAAUGCAAUUACAAGGGUCCUUAAAAGCUGAAGAGGGACUUGAAAGGAAGAGCUGACAAGAUGGCAAAAUGAGAAGGACACAUUUUGCUGAUGCUGCUGACUUAGAAGAUUGAGGAAUGUGUCAUGAAUCAAGGAAAACAGAGGAACUCUAGAAGUUGGAAUUUCUAGAAGCUGAAAAAUGUAAGAAAAUGAAUUCGCCCCUGGAGCCCCCAGAGAGGAAUGUAGCCCUGCUGAUACCUUGAGCUUAGCCACUGAGGGAGUUACAGAAAUUAAGAAGCAUAUUGUCAUGAUAAUAACUGAAAAAGAACCAGGCACACACUCCACAACUGCAUUUUCUCCUUUACGUUCUGGACGUUAGAGUCUGGGGAUUUAUCUGCGGGGAAGGUACCCUUGAUGUAUUUCUGCUUGGAAUAACGUUUAAGUAAUGUUGUGCCCCUCUCAGAAGAUCACAUUUGAAAGCACAUGAUGUCCAUCUGUCCCCACUGGCGAUAACAAUUUUGAAUACCCAGAGAAGAAGAUGUCUGAUUUCUCUACUGCACAAUUUACUAGUUUCCCCCACUGCAACUAUUAUGCAAUUUGCAGGAAACACUUUUAAGGCAUGGCAAUAUUCUGUAUUCAUUGAAAUUUCUCCCCAAAGCUUAUCAUCCAUUAAUGACUUUUUAUUUAACAAAACUGUCCUAUAUAGUUGGAAAAUGAUAAUUUUUCCAAUUCCAGCACCUGCUCCACAUUCACUAGCUGGCACUUGCCAUUCUAUUGUAAGCAACAGCUCCCUUCUUAUUUAUAAAUGUAUUUAUGUGUUCACAUAUGUAUGUAUUAUCUAUUAAUUAUUGACAUAGAUUGAUUUCUAUUUUCUCAAUUGCCACUAAUUCAUUAUUAUAUUUAAUUAUCUUGGUGUUCAGAUUGUCCAGGUUUCAUCACUGGGCUCCCUUCAAGCUAGCACCUGUGCCUUUGUAACAUGUCCCCAUCACUCUUUGAGAGCUUCCUCUUAAUGACAUCAUAGCACUGGAAACAAGCUUUUCCUUUUAGUGGGAAAUAUUAUCAGAAACCGAAAUCUCUAAGUGCUUGCUAUCCUUAUUCUUUGCUUCUAGGCCCUCUCAGUGGUCAGAGAUGGGAAAUACAUUGAUAUGGAUAUAUGUCCAUGUAUUCAUUGAUCUCUAUCUAUGUACACACACACAUGUGUAUAUAUGUACAUAUGUGUAUAUAUACACACGUGCAUGCAUGUACACAUACGAACACGUAUUUGAGAAAUCAUGAGGUCACACCUAUACCUCCAAAUCUAAUACAUCCACAUAAUAUUCUUUCUUGUAUUCCCUUAUUCCAUAUUUUUAUUUUCUUCCUUUAACACGAAAACUCUUGCUCCCAACAUCUCUACAUUUACUAAUUUUCUGAAUCCUAUAAUGUAUCUAAAAUAAUUUCAGAAUUUCUUUGCUCAUACAACUCAAAAAUGAAAUGUUCUAAAAAGAGCCCAGGACUCGUUAGUAGAUGUCUUCUUCCCUCACCAACCCCUGCCACCCAAGACUGAGAAUAUACAACCAAAUAAUAUAAGUCACUUAGAUAUUAGUUCUUUCCUUUUUUUCUCAGUCUAUGAUAUUCCUUUGAAAAUAAUUAGAUUAAUCUGUAUCAUUUUCUCUCAUUUUUAGAUCCUCCUCCUCAACCAUAAUUAUGGACUUUUUUAAUGUACAAUAUUUUCAUGCAUCCAGAAACCACAAUUAUGCAAAAAGGCAUACUCAGAGAAACAUCUCUCCAUCUCAUAUCCAUUCCGCUCUGUUUCCCAUAACCUCUUCAAGUUCUGAGUGGUGCCUGGCUAAGUGACUUGCAGAUGACUGUGCAACUGUUGCUGAUCUAGAGGGAGGAGCUGCAAGCAGCAGUUAGCCAGUUAGCACAUUGUAUAGAAACUAGUGGACUGGCCUAUUGCAGCUGCUUUUUGAAGCUACCCCUGCGGACAUAGAGGCAGUUGAUGGAUAAAAAGUAGGUCUCCAUGGGCAAUGAAACUGCUCACCAAGGGAAGGACUUCAAUCUAAACCUGAUAAAUAAAACUCUUGUUUUUCUUCUCACGCUUCCUCCCUGGCCAAUGCGUUAGAGGAGCUAGCCACUAAAAAUGGGGAAAAUUAGAGAGGUGUGUGGCCCUCAGUUUCUGGAGCCACACACACCUCUACCUAGGCUGGAGGAAAGGAGAACUUUGAGUUAAGCUUGAGAUGAAAGAUUUUUUUUAAUUCCUUAUGAUGAUAAAUGGGACAGAAUUUAGAUAUUGAACUCAGUCCAUUCCAUUAACCAAAUGUGGGAGCAGAGCUAUGAAAUAUAAAAUAGCAUUACGGAGAAUUUUAUACAGUACAGAUUAAAACAGAGUUGGAGAAAAUUACAGCAUCCAUGACAACCAAACGGAUUUUUGUUUAUAUUCUAGUUAGGAUCACCAACCAUCUCAGUUUGCCUGUGGUUGUCUCUAUUUUAACAUGGAUUUCCUGUGUCCUGGGAAACCCUUAAGUCCUCGGUAAACCAGGUCAGCUGGUCACUCUGAUUCCAGUGAGUUGAAAUUCCUUAAUAAACUAUUUACAUAUGUUUUUCACCUCCCAUUUCAACAUUAUUUUUCUCCAUUUUUUUUCUCCUUCUCUCCCUGUUUUUCCUUUUAUGUUUUCUUGCUCAACACCUAUCAUUAGUCAAACAAGCAUCACGACUUCACUAAACAUGCUGUUGUUCCCUGACUUGAUGCCAUUGUAUAUUUACUUGGUGCUUCCUUUGCCUAGAGUGACCCCUUUCAAACAUGCUAUUGGUCUGUCAACCAUCUCCUCUUUCAAAACUUAGCUUAAAAACAACUUCUCUAUGAAAACUUUCCUAUCUCCCUAACGCCAGGUAGAACAGAUAGUUCUUUCUGUGUAUCCUGCGCAGACUUUGAUUUCAAGAGAUGUGACCUACUAUCGUCCUUUUUGUUUUUACAUGUCUAGAUCCCUCUCAUCCAGUGCCUCUCAAAUUAGGAUCUGUGGUCUAACCCCUGAAAUCGGCAAAUGUAUUUUUAAAACAGUCUAUUUUCUUUGCAAAAAUAAAAUAAAUAAGUAUUUUUACC